This 393-nucleotide ribosomal RNA is filed under the name uncultured bacterium. RNAcentral describes it as "bacterial SSU rRNA". It matches the Rfam family "Bacterial small subunit ribosomal RNA", at positions 28 to 417 of the family's 1533-position model. The record is from RNAcentral.
GACGAACGCUGGCGGCGUGCUUAACACAUGCAAGUCGAGCGGUAAGGCCCUUUCGGGGUACGACGAGCGGCGAACGGGUGAGUAACACGUGGGUGACCUGCCCUCAGCUCUGGGAGUAAGACCUGGGAAACGUAGGGUCGUAAUACCGGAUAUGACUCCAUGACGCAUGUUGUGGGGUGGAAAGCCUUGUGCGGCUAGGGAUGGGCCCGCGGCCUAUCAGCUUGUUGGUGGGGUGAUGGCCUACCAAGGCGGACGACGGGUAGCCGGCCUGAGAGGGCGACCGGCCACACUGGGACUGAGACACGGCCCAGACUCCUACGGGAGGCAGCAGUGGGGAAUCUUGCGCAAUGGGCGAAAGCCUGACGCAGCGACGCCGCGUGGGGAUGACGGCCU